ACGCUCGACACCUACGGGAGGCAGCAGGUGGGGAAUAUUGGGCAAUGGGCGCAAGCCUGACCCAGCAACGCCGCGUGAAGGAAGAAGGCCCUCGGGUUGUAAACUUCUUUUAACAGGGACGAAGCAAGUGACGGUACCUGUUGAAUAAGCCACGGCUAACUACGUGCCGGCAGCCGCGGUAAUCUGAGGCGGGCUGGCAAGGC
Molecule: ribosomal RNA, 203 nt
Filed under: uncultured bacterium
Lineage: Bacteria
Description: partial 16S ribosomal RNA
Rfam family: Bacterial small subunit ribosomal RNA
Source: RNAcentral